Long non-coding RNA from Lonchura striata (white-rumped munia), 1055 nucleotides. RefSeq lists it as uncharacterized. The record is from RefSeq and is a predicted model, not a curated record. Lineage: Eukaryota; Metazoa; Chordata; Aves; Passeriformes; Estrildidae.
GACAUGUCUGCCUGGGUGCAAUGAAACACAGUGCAGCAGUUUCCUGACCUACUAAGUGGCAGAGCCUUGUUGCCUGGUGUCUACAAAUUGUGUCACAGGAUUCGCAUGAGGAUAUGCCGAAGAUUUGGCAACAAUUCCAGGAAGAAAUGUAAAAUACUCAUUCCAGAGUGAGUACUUACUGAUUAAGAGCUAGGAUUAGAAUAAUGUUGGUAACACACCAGUGUUUUAAUUGUUGCUGAGCAGCACCUACGCUAAGUCAAGGACUUUAAGGACUUUUCAUCUUCUCAUGAUGCACCACCAGUGAAGAGACUUGGGAGCACCAAAAGCUGAAAGGACACAGAAAGAGCAGUUGACCAAACCUGAGGGAUGUCCAGUACACCUGGAAUCAAUUACCCAGGUGUGGAAACACAACCCCACCAUCUGCCAUCCACUGAUCCAGGUUGAACUGGAAAAGAGUGAAACUCUGGAACACCCACAGUAGGUUGAUCAUAUCAUUGUGUGAGGCAAUACAGCAACAGAAAUUUUUGGAAAAGGAAAGAAAAUAAUACAAACUUUUCUGAAAGCUAAUCUGAUUUUGCCAAAGUUCAAGUGAUCUGCACAGGACAUCUAAUUUUUAUGAAUAAAAUUGUUAGCAUCCAGCAUCAAGAUGAACAUCGCAAAUCCCAUUGGAUGUGAUCAACAAAACAAAACAACAUCUUCACCAACUAGCAAAGAGAAGGCACAAGCUCUUUUAGGCAUUCUGGGUUUAUGGGGCAUGCAUACUCUAAAUUUCAGCCUGAUUGAAAGCCUACUUUAUCCAGUAACCCAAAAAAAGAACAAUUUCUAAUUUCAAGUGGGACCCUGAGCAACAAGAUUUUGAACAAAUCAAACAGGAAAUCAAGCAGCAACUCUUGAGUCAGUUGGUGAAGACAAGAUGUAAGAUAUGUGCCCUGCACCACAGCCAGGGAGAAUAGCCCUACUGGCAACAUCUGUCAGAAAGCACUUGAGGUGAAACCCUAGGUUUUUGGAUUUGGGGAUACACCCGACAUGAAAUCCAUUAUAAUCCAACGGAAAAA